GAUGAACGCUGGCGGCGUGCCUAAUACAUGCAAGUCGAGCGAACAGAUGAGGAGCUUGCUCCUCUGACGUUAGCGGCGGACGGGUGAGUAACACGUGGAUCACCUACCUAUAAGACUGGGAUAACUUCGGGACACCGGAGCUAAUACCGGAUAAUAUAUUGAACCGCAUGGUUCGAUAGUGAAAGACGGCUUUGCUGUAACUUAUAGAUGGAUCCGAGCCGCAUUAGCUAGUUGGUAAGGUAACGGCUUACCACGGCAACGAUGCGUAGCCGACCUGACAGGGUGAUCGGCCACACUGGAACUGGAACGCGGUCCAGACUCCUACGGGAGGCAGCAGUAGGGAAUCUUCCGCAAUGGGCGAAAGCCUUGCGGAGCGACGCCGCGUGUGUGAUGAAGGUCUUCGGAUCGGAAAACUCUGUUAUUAGGGAAGAACAAAUGUGUAAGGAGCUAUGCACUUCGUGACGGUACCUAGUCAGAAAGCCACGGCUAACUACGUG
This 497-nucleotide ribosomal RNA is filed under the name uncultured bacterium. Its description in RNAcentral is "partial 16S ribosomal RNA". It matches the Rfam family "Bacterial small subunit ribosomal RNA", at positions 28 to 507 of the family's 1533-position model. The record is from RNAcentral.